AGGAUAAACGCUGGCGGCGUGCCUAACACAUGCAAGUCGAACGAGGGUGGGCUCUUCGGAGUUCACGCGAGUGGCGGACGGGUGAGGAACACGUGGGCAACCUACCUUUCAGUGAGGAAUACCGGCGAGAAAUCGCCGACAAGACCGCAUGGGCUUCGCGCUUGCAAAAGCGGGAAGCAAAGUUUGUCCGCAAGGGCAGACGCUGGGAAGAUGGGCCCCGCGGCCGAUUAGCUAGUUGGUGGGGUAAGAGCCCACCAAGGCGACGAUCGGUAGCUGGUCUGAGAGGACGAUCAGCCACACUGGGAUUGAGAACGGCCCAGACUCCUACGGGGGGCAGCAGUGAGGAAUUUUCCGCAAUGGGGGCAACCCUGACGGAGCAACGCCGCGUGCAGGAAGACGCUUUUCGGAGUGUAAACUGCUUUCUGUGGGACGAGCAAGGACGGUACCACCGGAAGAAGCCCCGGCUAACUACGCGCCAGCAGCCGCGGUAA
This 491-nucleotide ribosomal RNA is filed under the name uncultured bacterium. RNAcentral's name for it is "SSU rRNA". It matches the Rfam family "Bacterial small subunit ribosomal RNA", at positions 26 to 523 of the family's 1533-position model. The record is from RNAcentral.